RNAcentral lists this ribosomal RNA (787 nucleotides) under Bacillus altitudinis. RNAcentral describes it as "bacterial SSU rRNA". It matches the Rfam family "Bacterial small subunit ribosomal RNA", at positions 28 to 798 of the family's 1533-position model. Lineage: Bacteria; Bacillati; Bacillota; Bacilli; Caryophanales; Bacillaceae. The record is from RNAcentral.
GAAAAAAGUGGGUAAACCAAUAAAUGCAAGUCGUAGCGGACAGUAAAGGAGCUUGCUCCCGAGAUGUUAGCGGCGGACGGGUGAGUAACACGUGGGUAACCUGCCUGUAAGACUGGGAUAACUCCGGGAAACCGGAGCUAAUACCGGAUAGUUCCUUGAACCGCAUGGUUCAAGGAUGAAAGACGGUUUCGGCUGUCACUUACAGAUGGACCCGCGGCGCAUUAGCUAGUUGGUGAGGUAACGGCUCACCAAGGCGACGAUGCGUAGCCGACCUGAGAGGGUGAUCGGCCACACUGGGACUGAGACACGGCCCAGACUCCUACGGGAGGCAGCAGUAGGGAAUCUUCCGCAAUGGACGAAAGUCUGACGGAGCAACGCCGCGUGAGUGAUGAAGGUUUUCGGAUCGUAAAGCUCUGUUGUUAGGGAAGAACAAGUGCAAGAGUAACUGCUUGCACCUUGACGGUACCUAACCAGAAAGCCACGGCUAACUACGUGCCAGCAGCCGCGGUAAUACGUAGGUGGCAAGCGUUGUCCGGAAUUAUUGGGCGUAAAGGGCUCGCAGGCGGUUUCUUAAGUCUGAUGUGAAAGCCCCCGGCUCAACCGGGGAGGGUCAUUGGAAACUGGGAAACUUGAGUGCAGAAGAGGAGAGUGGAAUUCCACGUGUAGCGGUGAAAUGCGUAGAGAUGUGGAGGAACACCAGUGGCGAAGGCGACUCUCUGGUCUGUAACUGACGCUGAGGAGCGAAAGCGUGGGGAGCGAACAGGAUUAGAUACCCUGGGUAGUCCAG